This 349-nucleotide unclassified non-coding RNA is filed under the name soil metagenome. RNAcentral's name for it is "partial contains 5.8S ribosomal RNA, internal transcribed spacer 2, and large subunit ribosomal RNA". The stretch from base 1 to 120 matches the Rfam family "5.8S ribosomal RNA", at positions 35 to 154 of the family's 154-position model. The record is from RNAcentral.
GAUGAAGAACGUAGUGAAAUGCGAUAAGUAAUGUGAAUUGCAGAAUUCAGUGAAUCAUCGAAUCUUUGAACGCACAUUGCGCCCGCCAGUAUUCUGGCGGGCAUGCCUGUCCGAGCGUCAUUUCAACCCUCGAACCCCUCCGGGGGGUCGGCGUUGGGGAUCGGCCCUUUACCGGCCGGCCCCGAAAUACAGUGGCGGUCUCGCCGCAGCCUCUCCUGCGCAGUAGUUUGCACACUCGCACCGGGAGCGCGGCGCAGUCCAAUGCCGUAAAACACCCAACUUUCUGAAAUGUUGACCUCGGAUCAGGUAGGAAUACCCGCUGAACUUAAGCAUAUCAAUAAGCGGAGGA